RNAcentral lists this ribosomal RNA (2903 nucleotides) under Enterobacter cloacae complex sp. Its description in RNAcentral is "bacterial LSU rRNA". It matches the Rfam family "Bacterial large subunit ribosomal RNA". Lineage: Bacteria; Pseudomonadati; Pseudomonadota; Gammaproteobacteria; Enterobacterales; Enterobacteriaceae. The record is from RNAcentral.
UUAAGCGACUAAGCGUACACGGUGGAUGCCCUGGCAGUCAGAGGCGAUGAAGGACGUGCUAAUCUGCGAAAAGCGACGGCGAGGUGAUAUGAACCCUUGACCCGUCGAUGUCCGAAUGGGGAAACCCAGUGCAAUCCGUUGCACUAUCGUUAACUGAAUACAUAGGUUAACGAGGCGAACCGGGGGAACUGAAACAUCUAAGUACCCCGAGGAAAAGAAAUCAACCGAGAUUCCCCCAGUAGCGGCGAGCGAACGGGGAGCAGCCCGGAGUCUGAAUCAGCUUGUGUGUUAGUGGAACGGUCUGGAAAGUCCGACGGUACAGGGUGAUAGUCCCGUACACGAAAACACACUUGUUGUGAACUCGAAGAGUAGGGCGGGACACGUGGUAUCCUGUCUGAAUAUGGGGGGACCAUCCUCCAAGGCUAAAUACUCCUGACUGACCGAUAGUGAACCAGUACCGUGAGGGAAAGGCGAAAAGAACCCCGGCGAGGGGAGUGAAAAAGAACCUGAAACCGUGUACGUACAAGCAGUGGGAGCCUCUUUUAUGGGGUGACUGCGUACCUUUUGUAUAAUGGGUCAGCGACUUAUAUUCUGUAGCAAGGUUAACCGUAUAGGGGAGCCGAAGGGAAACCGAGUCUUAACUGGGCGUUAAGUUGCAGGGUAUAGACCCGAAACCCGGUGAUCUAGCCAUGGGCAGGUUGAAGGUUGGGUAACACUAACUGGAGGACCGAACCGACUAAUGUUGAAAAAUUAGCGGAUGACCUGUGGCUGGGGGUGAAAGGCCAAUCAAACCGGGAGAUAGCUGGUUCUCCCCGAAAGCUAUUUAGGUAGCGCCUCGUGAAUUCAUCUUCGGGGGUAGAGCACUGUUUCGGCUAGGGGGCCAUCCCGGCUUACCAACCCGAUGCAAACUACGAAUACCGAAGAAUGUUAUCACGGGAGACACACGGCGGGUGCUAACGUCCGUCGUGAAGAGGGAAACAACCCAGACCGCCAGCUAAGGUCCCAAAGUCAUGGUUAAGUGGGAAACGAUGUGGGAAGGCACAGACAGCCAGGAUGUUGGCUUAGAAGCAGCCAUCAUUUAAAGAAAGCGUAAUAGCUCACUGGUCGAGUCGGCCUGCGCGGAAGAUGUAACGGGGCUAAACCAUGCACCGAAGCUGCGGCAGCGACACUAUGUGUUGUUGGGUAGGGGAGCGUUCUGUAAGCCGUUGAAGGUGGCCUGUGAGGGUUGCUGGAGGUAUCAGAAGUGCGAAUGCUGACAUAAGUAACGAUAAAGCGGGUGAAAAGCCCGCUCGCCGGAAGACCAAGGGUUCCUGUCCAACGUUAAUCGGGGCAGGGUGAGUCGACCCCUAAGGCGAGGCCGAAAGGCGUAGUCGAUGGGAAACAGGUUAAUAUUCCUGUACUUGGUGUUACUGCGAAGGGGGGACGGAGAAGGCUAUGUCAGCCGGGCGACGGUUGUCCCGGUUUAAGCAUGUAGGCGGAGGUUCCAGGUAAAUCCGGUACCUUUUAACGCUGAGGUGUGAUGACGAGGCACUACGGUGCUGAAGUGAUAAAUGCCCUGCUUCCAGGAAAAGCCUCUAAGCAUCAGGUAACACGAAAUCGUACCCCAAACCGACACAGGUGGUCAGGUAGAGAAUACCAAGGCGCUUGAGAGAACUCGGGUGAAGGAACUAGGCAAAAUGGUGCCGUAACUUCGGGAGAAGGCACGCUGAUAUGUAGGUGAAGUCCCUGCGGACGGAGCUGAAAUCAGUCGAAGAUACCAGCUGGCUGCAACUGUUUAUUAAAAACACAGCACUGUGCAAACACGAAAGUGGACGUAUACGGUGUGACGCCUGCCCGGUGCCGGAAGGUUAAUUGAUGGGGUUAGCGGCAACGCGAAGCUCUUGAUCGAAGCCCCGGUAAACGGCGGCCGUAACUAUAACGGUCCUAAGGUAGCGAAAUUCCUUGUCGGGUAAGUUCCGACCUGCACGAAUGGCGUAAUGAUGGCCAGGCUGUCUCCACCCGAGACUCAGUGAAAUUGAACUCGCUGUGAAGAUGCAGUGUACCCGCGGCAAGACGGAAAGACCCCGUGAACCUUUACUAUAGCUUGACACUGAACACUGGUCCUUGAUGUGUAGGAUAGGUGGGAGGCUUUGAAGCGUGGACGCCAGUCUGCGUGGAGCCAACCUUGAAAUACCACCCUUUAAUGGCUGGUGUUCUAACGUAGACCCGUAAUCCGGGUUGCGGACAGUGUCUGGUGGGUAGUUUGACUGGGGCGGUCUCCUCCCAAAGAGUAACGGAGGAGCACGAAGGUUGGCUAAUCCUGGUCGGACAUCAGGAGGUUAGUGCAAUGGCAUAAGCCAGCUUGACUGCGAGCGUGACGGCGCGAGCAGGUGCGAAAGCAGGUCAUAGUGAUCCGGUGGUUCUGAAUGGAAGGGCCAUCGCUCAACGGAUAAAAGGUACUCCGGGGAUAACAGGCUGAUACCGCCCAAGAGUUCAUAUCGACGGCGGUGUUUGGCACCUCGAUGUCGGCUCAUCACAUCCUGGGGCUGAAGUAGGUCCCAAGGGUAUGGCUGUUCGCCAUUUAAAGUGGUACGCGAGCUGGGUUUAGAACGUCGUGAGACAGUUCGGUCCCUAUCUGCCGUGGGCGCUGGAGAAUUGAGGGGGGCUGCUCCUAGUACGAGAGGACCGGAGUGGACGCAUCACUGGUGUUCGGGUUGUCAUGCCAAUGGCACUGCCCGGUAGCUAAAUGCGGAAGAGAUAAGUGCUGAAAGCAUCUAAGCACGAAACUUGCCCCGAGAUGAGUUCUCCCUGAGACUUUAAGUCUCCUGAAGGAACGUUGAAGACGACGACGUUGAUAGGUCGGGUGUGUAAGCGCAGCGAUGCGUUGAGCUAACCGAUACUAAUGAACCGUGAGGCUUAACCUU